RNAcentral lists this ribosomal RNA (1110 nucleotides) under Salmonella enterica. RNAcentral describes it as "partial 23S ribosomal RNA". It matches the Rfam family "Bacterial large subunit ribosomal RNA", at positions 1292 to 2385 of the family's 2925-position model. Lineage: Bacteria; Pseudomonadati; Pseudomonadota; Gammaproteobacteria; Enterobacterales; Enterobacteriaceae. The record is from RNAcentral. RNAcentral also lists the same sequence under 1 other name.
GAAUGCUGACAUAAGUAACGAUAAAGCGGGUGAAAAGCCCGCUCGCCGGAAGACCAAGGGUUCCUGUCCAACGUUAAUCGGGGCAGGGUGAGUCGACCCCUAAGGCGAGGCCGAAAGGCGUAGUCGAUGGGAAACGGGUUAAUAUUCCCGUACUUGGUGUUACUGCGAAGGGGGGACGGAGAAGGCUAUGUUGGCCGGGCGACGGUUGUCCCGGUUUAAGCGUGUAGGUGUGUGUUCCAGGUAAAUCCGGUUCACUUUAACACUGAGGCGUGACGACGAGGCACUACGGUGCUGAAGCAACAAAUGCCCUGCUUCCAGGAAAAGCCUCUAAGCAUCAGGUAACAUCAAAUCGUACCCCAAACCGACACAGGUGGUCAGGUAGAGAAUACCAAGGCGCUUGAGAGAACUCGGGUGAAGGAACUAGGCAAAAUGGUGCCGUAACUUCGGGAGAAGGCACGCUGACACGUAGGUGAAGUGAUUUACUCAUGGAGCUGAAGUCAGUCGAAGAUACCAGCUGGCUGCAACUGUUUAUUAAAAACACAGCACUGUGCAAACACGAAAGUGGACGUAUACGGUGUGACGCCUGCCCGGUGCCGGAAGGUUAAUUGAUGGGGUCAGCGCAAGCGAAGCUCCUGAUCGAAGCCCCGGUAAACGGCGGCCGUAACUAUAACGGUCCUAAGGUAGCGAAAUUCCUUGUCGGGUAAGUUCCGACCUGCACGAAUGGCGUAAUGAUGGCCAGGCUGUCUCCACCCGAGACUCAGUGAAAUUGAACUCGCUGUGAAGAUGCAGUGUACCCGCGGCAAGACGGAAAGACCCCGUGAACCUUUACUAUAGCUUGACACUGAACAUUGAGCCUUGAUGUGUAGGAUAGGUGGGAGGCUUUGAAGUGUGGACGCCAGUCUGCAUGGAGCCGACCUUGAAAUACCACCCUUUAAUGUUUGAUGUUCUAACGUGGACCCGUUACCCGGGUUGCGGACAGUGUCUGGUGGGUAGUUUGACUGGGGCGGUCUCCUCCUAAAGAGUAACGGAGGAGCACGAAGGUUGGCUAAUCCUGGUCGGACAUCAGGAGGUUAGUGCAAUGGCAUAAGCCAGCUUGACUGCGAGCGUGAC